RNAcentral lists this ribosomal RNA (373 nucleotides) under uncultured bacterium. RNAcentral describes it as "bacterial SSU rRNA". It matches the Rfam family "Bacterial small subunit ribosomal RNA", at positions 521 to 896 of the family's 1533-position model. The record is from RNAcentral.
UAAUACGGAGGGUGCAAGCGUUAUCCGGAUUCACUGGGUUUAAAGGGUGCGUAGGUGGGCAGGUAAGUCAGUGGUGAAAUCUCCGGGCUUAACCCGGAAACUGCCGUUGAUACUAUCUGUCUUGAAUGUAGUGGAGGUGAGCGGAAUAUGUCAUGUAGCGGUGAAAUGCUUAGAUAUGACAUAGAACACCCAUUGCGAAGGCAGCUCGCUACACUAUUAUUGACACUGAGGCACGAAAGCGUGGGGAUCAAACAGGAUUAGAUACCCUGGUAGUCCACGCCCUAAACGAUGGAUACUCGACAUCAGCGAUACACAGUUGGUGUCUGAGCGAAAGCAUUAAGUAUCCCACCUGGGAAGUACGACCGCAAGGUUG